UAGUCAAAAUCAGUCAGUAGGCUAGUUGUGUAUAGGUUUUACUGUUUUACUUCAUUGUUGUAUGCCUGUAUUUAUGUAGAACCGUGGUCCUGUGAGGACUACAUUUCGUUAAGAUCAGAAGA
Molecule: long non-coding RNA, 122 nt
Organism: Sinocyclocheilus grahami
Lineage: Eukaryota; Metazoa; Chordata; Actinopteri; Cypriniformes; Cyprinidae
Exons: 4
Source: RefSeq, a predicted model, not a curated record